Molecule: non-coding RNA, 28 nt
Filed under: Rattus norvegicus (Norway rat)
Lineage: Eukaryota; Metazoa; Chordata; Mammalia; Rodentia; Muridae
Source: RNAcentral
UGCUGACUCUAAUAAAAUGAGGAAUGCC